ACUACACCAGACUCAUCAAACACAGCAAACGCAGUCACUUUGCCCGCUGUUGUUUUAAACAACCCUGCUCCACCAGUCGAGGAUACUAGCAAUCCAGGUCACGUGACUGAGGGUGUGUCUACUGGCACUGGUCCAUCGGAUGGGUUGUGGAAGCUAACCCUUGAUAAACGGCCGCCUGCUGGUGUCAAUCUUGUCUUGUUCGUUCCUGUUUGUCCAACACAAGCCAACGGGCUCCCGCUCCCAUCUGCAAUCCCUCAGACACUACCCAUCACAGCUAUGCAAGCUCUGCCUGAGGGUCCACUCGCAGUUGGUGCUGCUCUUGGAGCGACACUAAGUGCCCCACUGGAUCUGUUAACUGGGGUUAAACAGGAUCCAGAAGCACCCUUGGAUCUGUCUAAGAAGUCUGCAGUGACGUACCUUCCUGUUAAAGGUGAACCAGAAGAAUUUGAAAUCUCAGGACAGGCUGUAAAUGCUGGAAGGCAAGAAUUUGGAAACCAUCACAGCAAAGUGACAGCUAGAACAACCUCAAUAAAGACAGCUCCCACAGGACUCAUAGUGGAUAUAAAGAAAGAGCCUCAGACUUCUGGUUGUGAUUUGUGGUCGUCUGAAUCAAGCCAACUGACAGACUACAAGCUAGAGAAAGAGAUUAAGAUUGAAGUUAACAUUUCAAGUGCUGCUUAAUUGGAAAAGUCGUGUCUCCUAAAUGAGUUUUGCCGGAGCCGCUAUCACUGAGAAAGCUGAAGUUAGUCAGCAGCAGUUGCUCUACAUCAACGUCACAACAGAACCACUUUUGUAACAUGUUCCUGGUACAGCACCCAGCAAUCACAAAAGACAAAUGAGCUCGACUCUGAGGUUCAACUGCACUCCUGCAUGAUACAGAUCGUCUCAUGUGAGUACACCCUGACCAGGGAUAUCCUUGGUUGGUCAUCUCAGGCAUACAGCUAUAUGUAUAAGCACACAAGCUCCUCCCACCUGCUGUAUAAAACUGUUUGGGGGGUAGGGGUUGCCAUUCAGAGGAAAUGGAGCUCCAUCAUUGACAGUAUAAGAAUAUGUCUAGCUUAUUUUGAGCUUUGAGCUCAUAGGUCACUUUAUCAUGAAUUGGCCUCUACUUUCAGAAAUAUACAAUGAGAGAAUCUCGAUACGUGUGCAACAGACUGGAGACGGAGGAAUAUGUCUUUACCCGUUCAGACUCGAUGAUGGUUGUCUAGUAAGACGAUCAUCAUCGCUUCCACAGAACGGUGACCAGUGUGCUGGUUCAGACCUGAAGCUGACCUGCUCACAUGCUGUUCAUAUUAACAGACAAGGAUCCAUGUCUGAAAGGGGUCAAAGUGUGACAGUUUUCUUGCAUCUGUAAUUUAAACAAGACAUUCCAAGCUUUUAUUUAUCGAGGCACUUUUUUCUUCUUUCCUUUUGCAUUCAGAUAUAAGGCUGUAAAUUCAGCCUGCUGGAGGAAGAAUGAAUGGAGAUGAAUCCUAUGCAGUGUGAUGCAGAAUUUCUAUUAGCAUUAAAAUUUCUGUCAUGUUCUUAUCGUCUUGGAAAACUGAUUCUUUUUGUAAACUGUGUCAAAACUAGAGGGAAACAGGGUUUUUUUUUUUUCUUCUGAAAGCUUGUUUUGUAUAGUAACUAGCAUUUUAGUGCUAUGUUAAAUAUUUCAUUAUGAAUGGUACUGAUUAGUAGAAUGAAUAGAUGUCUUCUUGUGAUUAACAUUUCAUGACUCUAAACAGUCUGCAGGUAUAUUUUGUUUUUCUAAAGGUUAAUAAAUGCUUGUUUGGAUGCAAGGUGAGUCGCACUGAAACUGUUUUUUUU
This is a long non-coding RNA of Astatotilapia calliptera (eastern happy), 1806 nucleotides long. NCBI's taxonomy places the organism in Eukaryota, Metazoa, Chordata, Actinopteri, Cichliformes, Cichlidae. The record is from Ensembl.